Lolium rigidum is the source of this 423-nucleotide long non-coding RNA. RefSeq lists it as uncharacterized. The record is from RefSeq and is a predicted model, not a curated record. The transcript is spliced from 4 exons. NCBI's taxonomy places the organism in Eukaryota, Viridiplantae, Streptophyta, Magnoliopsida, Poales, Poaceae.
AGGAUUACCGACGCGUUUUCCUUCUCUCUCCCCAUACUCUUUCCCUGCCAAACCCUAUUUCCUCUCCCGUUUCACUCUCCGUAGCAGCGGCGGCGGCGGCUAGCACGAGUAGCGGCGGCGAGCGGGUAGUCGGCGGCGGUGAAUGGCGAGGGCUGACCAGUGCAUCUCUCCCCGGAGCACCAGAUGGUGAUAGAGGACUGAGCCAGCGACCAAGAAGAAGCUCAGCAGCAGCCUUCUUCAUAUUUGGUGGACUAACCAAAGAAUCAAAGAUACUUUGCAACAGAACCUCGCGACAGGCAAGGGGUACGCGAAGUCUCACUUCUUGUCGAUAGUGAGGAAGCAAAGAGGCGGAUGCGGGACGGAGAGAAUGGAGAGUCCUGCGACGGUUAUGGAGAAGACGUUGAAGCCUUGAAUUGGUUCACA